UUUUAUUAUAAUAAUUAAUAAUAAAAUCUGCUCAAUGAAAAAUAUUUCAAUAGCCGCAAUAUUUUGUGCUAAGGUAGCAUAAUAAUUUGUCUUUUAAUUAAAGACUAGAAUAAAAGAUUUAACAUUUAAAUUAAUUUUUUAAAUUCAAUUAUUAAAGUUAUUUUAAAUAUAACAAAAUAUUUAUAAAAAAAAAAGACGAUAAGACCCUAUCGAACUUAACUUAAGUUUAACUGGGGCAGUUAAUAAAUUAAAACUUUUAUAAUUAUUAAUUAAAAAAAUUUGACCUAAUACAAUUAAAUAUAUGAUCAAGUUACCAUAGGGAUAACAGUAUAAUUAAAUUUUAAAGAUCUUAUUAAAAAUUUAGAUUAUAACCUCGAUGUUGAUUAAUUUUCUUUUUAACGCAAUAGUAAAAUAAAGAAAGUCUGUUCGACUUUUAAAUAUAUUACA
Molecule: ribosomal RNA, 447 nt
Filed under: Stephanopoides sexmaculata
Lineage: Eukaryota; Metazoa; Arthropoda; Arachnida; Araneae; Thomisidae
Description: partial 16S ribosomal RNA
Source: RNAcentral